Molecule: ribosomal RNA, 478 nt
Filed under: uncultured bacterium
Lineage: Bacteria
Description: partial 16S ribosomal RNA
Rfam family: Bacterial small subunit ribosomal RNA
Source: RNAcentral
GACGAACGCUGGCGGCGUGCUUAACACAUGCAAGUCGAACGGUAAGGCCCUUCGGGGUACACGAGUGGCGAACGGGUGAGUAACACGUGGGUGAUCUGCCCUGCACUUCGGGAUAAGCCUGGGAAACUGGGUCUGAUACCGGAUAGGACCCUGGGAUGCAUGUCCUGGGGUGGAAGGCUUUUGCGGUGUGGGAUGGGCCCGCGGCCUAUCAGCUUGUUGGUGGGGUGAUGGCCUACCAAGGCGACGACGGGUAGCCGGCCUGAGAGGGUGACCGGCCACACUGGGACUGAGAUACGGCCCAGACUCCUACGGGAGGCAGCAGUGGGGAAUAUUGCACAAUGGGCGCAAGCCUGAAGCAGCGACGCCGCGUGAGGGAUGACGGCCUUCGGGUUGUAAACCUCUUUCAGCACCGACGAAGCGCAAGUGACGGUAGGUGCAGAAGAAGGACCGGCCAACUACGUGCCAGCCGCCGCCGUAA